UCAUAGCCCAGAUAGAAACGGCAUCCUUUUUUGCGUUGGACGGAACGAAGUGGAGACCAAUGCAAAAAAGAUAUAGUGGAUAGCUGGAAAUAGC
RNAcentral lists this small RNA (94 nucleotides) under Chryseobacterium sp. Leaf394. RNAcentral's name for it is "Flavo-1 RNA". It matches the Rfam family "Flavo-1 RNA". The record is from Rfam by way of RNAcentral. Lineage: Bacteria; Pseudomonadati; Bacteroidota; Flavobacteriia; Flavobacteriales; Weeksellaceae.